RNAcentral lists this ribosomal RNA (474 nucleotides) under uncultured bacterium. RNAcentral describes it as "bacterial SSU rRNA". It matches the Rfam family "Bacterial small subunit ribosomal RNA", at positions 335 to 798 of the family's 1533-position model. The record is from RNAcentral.
ACUCCUACGGGGAGGCAGCAGGUGGGAAUAUUGCACAUGGGCAGCCAAGCCUGAUGCAGCCAUGCCGCGUGUGUGAAGAAGGGCCUUCGGGUUGAUAAAGCACUUUCAGUUGUGAGGAAGGUGGUGUCGUUAAUAGCGGCAUCAUUUGACGUUAGCAACAGAAGAAGCACCGGCUAACUCCGUGCCAGCAGCCGCGGUAAUACGGAGGGUGCGAGCGUUAAUCGGAAUUACUGGGCGUAAAGCGCAUGCAGGUGGUUUGUUAAGUCAGAUGUGAAAGCCCGGGGCUCAACCUCGGAACUGCAUUUGAAACUGGCAGACUAGAGUACUGUAGAGGGGGUAGAAUUUCAGGUGUAGCGGUGAAAUGCGUAGAGAUCUGAAGGAAUACCGGUGGCGAAGGCGGCCCCCUGGACAGAUACUGACACUCAGAUGCGAAAGCGUGGGGAGCAAACAGGAUUAGAUACCCUGGUAGGCUCU